This is a long non-coding RNA of Pan troglodytes (chimpanzee), 2155 nucleotides long. RefSeq lists it as uncharacterized. The transcript is spliced from 6 exons. The record is from RefSeq and is a predicted model, not a curated record. Lineage: Eukaryota; Metazoa; Chordata; Mammalia; Primates; Hominidae.
GUCACCAUGGGAAAAUCAGAUCUCUCACAGCGUUUCGACUUUGGGACCUUUUUCCAGCAAUUAAACCUACUGUAAGUGGGGGAAAUGCCUGUAUACAGCCACUUACGCCAGGCUCAGGUUCACAAACCUUCCCAUUCCCAAGGAAGGCAGCACACAGGCUCCUACUAGGAAUCACAGCCAAGUUCUCAAACAGGCAUAUCUCACUAGAAGUGCUUCCUAAAAGGUGGAUUGUUUUUAUUCCAUUGAAUUAAUUCUACUGAAUUACAAACUUGCCAUUUUCACUAUAAUAAGUCCCCUUUCAAAGUGUGUUGACAUUUCUGGUGGUUCUGAAUAGCUCAAAAUGGUUUGCUGGACUCUCAGAGCUGACUUGAGAGACUACUUGGAUCUGGUUGUUUUCAAAAGCUGUUGGGUGGUAGAGCCUGGGGAGCUAUGCUGCACCUGAUAGAAGAACACUAUGACAUCAUUACCACUGCUUUCGUCUUCUGAACUAGGAGAAAACAAGGUACACAAAAGAGUUAUCACAACAUGCCCAUGAGUUAAGCACAGCUGGCAGUUUUCCUGUUAAUAUUUGCUUACUUCUUGUUUCCCACCACCCCCCUCCGCCACCGGGUGGGGAGUGCAGGGUGCUGCAAAAGAUGAAGCAGCAACAAAGUUAAGAAAACACAGGACAGAUGAAAACUUACAGUGAGGAAAUUUUAAUCUGCUUACUUUAUUUUUCUUUGAAUUGGGAAAAGACUGCCAUAAUUUGAUUUUAGCAGGAAAUAGUAUUCCCCCAGUGUAUAGUUUCAGAAUGAAUGGGCCAGUCCAGCAUCUCAGAGAGAGUGACAUGGAAGCCCAGAUGCAUCUUCUGUGGAUGGUCCUUUAGAGACCUGAUGGAGGCUGAUCCCUCCUGCCCUCCAGGAAGCAUAUCUGAUGUGCCACUUCCUGCAACAAGUCCUGUACAUUCUUAUCCUCCACGCUGUCUCCCCCUGUAUUUCAUCACGAAGAUAUGUGGCUGUAUGUGUGGGACGGGGAUUCUACCUGAUGCAGCUGCAGCAGAGGCCCCAGGGCUCCCCCAAGAAGACCACCUGGAAGGCUUCCUGGAGGUGCAGGCCAAGAAGGAAGCUGUGAAGGAUGACAUCAGUGUUCAUCCAUGGAAAAAUGAGUUGUACUUCUGCUAAUGUCAAGGGCAAGACUCAAAUUCAAAAAACAUCACCACUACCGAUAAACAAAACCAAAGAGAAAGGAUUCCUUAUCAGCAGACAGUUACAGCUCCCACUAGGACACUGCCUUCUCAGCGGCUUCGGUUAUCAGAUAUUCCUGGACAUACUUUCCAAGCCAUGAAAAAUAACCAGAGCCACAGCUUUCCCAGCACUCUGACAAACGUCCAUGAGCCCCCAAAGACUGGGAAGUAAUGAUGAUGCAGCUGCGGCACCAUAGAAGAAACAAGUGAUUUCAGUCAAAGGGCCUGGACUCACGAGCUAGCAACUUUGGACAGAUUCUUGAACUCUCAGCCUCAGUUUCCGCUUCUGUAAAGGGAGAUAACUACAGUGACCUUCAGGUUAUCUUUAAGAUGCCAAUGAGCUAGUGAAAAUGCAAUUUAAUCUGUACAGAACUAAACAAAUGCUCUUUUAAUACAAAUUAAUUAAAUGCAGGCAUCUUAAGAGGUGGCUUAAGAAGACUCCUGCAUCAUCACAGGGAGUUAAAAUUCUGAGCAAAAAGCCUUCUGGAGGAGAAGCAUAGGACAGGCAGCCCCAAGACUGGACUGGAUAGAUGUUGCCGAGCCACCAACUCUCUGAAGGACCUGAGACAAAGCCAGGCCCCUGCCAUCUGCUCCAAGGGAAUGAAUAGCUUCAGACUUGGCACCUUAGAAAUGCUGACAGCUCCUGAGAGAGAAAGCAAGAGACAGGGAUUGUGAGGAAUGAAUGAGAAGAUGAACCUGAAACUGCUUUGUCAAGUGUCAAGGGCUGCACAAGUGUGAAGAGGAUGGUGGUAAAAUCCCAGAAGAAUUAAUCAUCAAGAAGAUAAUUACCAAUGGACUUAUAUUAGAGUUUAUCCAGAAAAACUACUUCAUCCAAGCCAACAAGAAUGCCAGGACAGCACUGAAAUGAAAAGGCUGGGCAGGAAUAUUUGAUAAAUAAUAAGAUUAGCAGUGUACAAUAAAGGACAGAUGGGC